UGGGGAAUUUUGCACAAUGGGGGAAACCCUGAUGCAGCGACGCCGCGUGAUUUAGAAGGCCUUCGGGUUGUAAAAAUCUUUUCUAUGGGAAGAAAAUGACAGUACCAUAGGAAUAAGGACCGGCUAAUUACGUGCCAGCAGCCGCGGUAAUACGUAAGGUCCGAGCGUUGUCCGGAAUCAUUGGGCGUAAAGGGUACGUAGGCGGGUAAGCAAGUUAGAAGUGAAAUCCUAUAGCUCAACUAUAGUAAGCUUUUAAAACUGCUCAUCUUGAGGUAUGGAAGGGAAAGUGGAAUUCCUAGUGUUGCGGUGAAAUGCGCAGAUAUUAGGAGGAAUACCGGUGGCGAAGGCGACUUUCUGGCCAUAACCUGACGCUGAGGUACGAAAGCGUGGGUAGCAAACAGG
This 402-nucleotide ribosomal RNA is filed under the name bacterium. Its description in RNAcentral is "partial 16S ribosomal RNA". It matches the Rfam family "Bacterial small subunit ribosomal RNA", at positions 355 to 776 of the family's 1533-position model. The record is from RNAcentral.